GAUACCAGCUUGCUGGUAGGCGUCGAGCGGCGGACGGGUGAGUAACACUUAGGAAUCUACCUAGUAGUGGGGGAUAGCUCGGGGAAACUCGAAUUAAUACCGCAUACGACCUACGGGAGAAAGGGGGCAACUUGUUGCUCUCGCUAUUAGAUGAGCCUAAGUCGGAUUAGCUAGUUGGUGGGGUAAAGGCCUACCAAGGCGACGAUCUGUAGCUGGUCUGAGAGGAUGAUCAGCCACACCGGGACUGAGACACGGCCCGGACUCCUACGGGAGGCAGCAGUGGGGAAUAUUGGACAAUGGGGGCAACCCUGAUCCAGCCAUGCCGCGUGUGUGAAGAAGGCCUUUUGGUUGUAAAGCACUUUAAGCAGUGAAGAAGACCUAACGGUUAAUACCCGUUAGCGAUGACAUUAGCUGCAGAAUAAGCACCGGCUAACUCUGUGCCAGCAGCCGCGGUAAUACAGAGGGUGCAAGCGUUAAUCGGAAUUACUGGGCGUAAAGCGAGCGUAGGUGGCUUGAUAAGUCAGAUGUGAAAUCCCCGGGCUUAACCUGGGAACUGCAUCUGAUACUGUUAGGCUA
This 576-nucleotide ribosomal RNA is filed under the name uncultured Psychrobacter sp. Its description in RNAcentral is "bacterial SSU rRNA". It matches the Rfam family "Bacterial small subunit ribosomal RNA", at positions 70 to 643 of the family's 1533-position model. Lineage: Bacteria; Pseudomonadati; Pseudomonadota; Gammaproteobacteria; Moraxellales; Moraxellaceae. The record is from RNAcentral.